GGCGGUGAACAGAACCCUCACCCCGUCCUGUCUCGGGGUGCCUCUCCUGAAGCACAGAGUCCCCUCUGGGCCUUCGUUUCCCCAGCUUUCCUGCCGCGGGGCACACAGAGUCUAGGCUCAGUCAGAAGCCCCGGCGCCACCUGAAUGGGAGCCUGGGGAACCCUGUAUGGUCCUCCCUGAACAGGACAGUGGGGAUGGGGCAGGGCCAGGGAAGCAGAGAAGGGCACACCCUGUGAGGGACACCACACGCAACCAUGCAGCCUGGGAUGGGCACUGUGGUGCUCUCGUCGCCAGGCCCCCAUGUCUGCCCUCGCAGUCAACCUUGGUCCCUGGGGGAUCGCCUGCAAUCCCACGACGCCUGGGCAGCAUAACUGUCAUUUAUCACAUGGUCAUCGCCGGAGACGCCGAGCGGAGCCCCCAAACAUCCUGCACCUUUGAUGUUCACGCGGACUCUGUGAGGCAGGUGCUGUUCUCAUCCCGUUUUACAGACGAGGAACCUGAGACGCAACUGCAGGCCCCGCAGCAGCCGGUACUUGGCUGUCCUAACCCAUCCGCUCUGGUGCAGACAAAGUGGAUAUCUGUCUAACAUGCAAAAGGAGGGUUCUGAAACACCCUACCUGCCAGGAAGGUUUCUAGAGAGGAGCCGGCCCACUCCACCCCAAGCUGGCCACUCCGCUCACGGGGCCUCAGGCCUCAUCCCCGCCACCUGGUGCCCUGUGCCCAGCCUGAUCGUUGUUGGUCUUACCCACUGAUUCUUUUAGAUGGAAGCGGGAUCUUGCUGUGCUGCCCAGGCUGGUCUCGAACCCCUGGGCUCAAGCAAUCCUUCUUCCAGGACUUCCCAAAGUGCUGGGAUUACAGGCGUGAGCCACCGUGCCCAGUCAGAACUAACUACUUUAAAAUAUCAGGGUGGGUGCCAUGGCUCAUGCCUGUAAUCCCAGCACUUUGGGAGGCCAAGGCA
Homo sapiens (human) is the source of this 958-nucleotide long non-coding RNA. The record is from Ensembl. NCBI's taxonomy places the organism in Eukaryota, Metazoa, Chordata, Mammalia, Primates, Hominidae.